CAAGUCGAGCGAACAGACGAGGAGCUUGCUCCUCUGACGUUAGCGGCGGACGGGUGAGUAACACGUGGAUAACCUACCUAUAAGACUGGGAUAACUUCGGGAAACCGGAGCUAAUACCGGAUAAUAUAUUGAACCGCAUGGUUCAAUAGUGAAAGACGGUUUUGCUGUCACUUAUAGAUGGAUCCGCGCCGCAUUAGCUAGUUGGUAAGGUAACGGCUUACCAAGGCAACGAUGCGUAGCCGACCUGAGAGGGUGAUCGGCCACACUGGAACUGAGACACGGUCCAGACUCCUACGGGAGGCAGCAGUAGGGAAUCUUCCGCAAUGGGCGAAAGCCUGACGGAGCAACGCCGCGUGAGUGAUGAAGGUCUUCGGAUCGUAAAACUCUGUUAUUAGGGAAGAACAAAUGUGUAAGUAACUAUGCACGUCUUGACGGUACCUAAUCAGAAAGCCACGGCUAACUACGUGCCAGCAGCCGCGGUAAUACGUAGGUGGCAAGCGUUAUCCGGAAUUAUUGGGCGUAAAGCGCGCGUAGGCGGUUUUUUAAGUCUGAUGUGAAAGCCCACGGCUCAACCGUGGAGGGUCAUUGGAAACUGGAAAACUUGAGUGCAGAAGAGGAAAGUGGAAUUCCAUGUGUAGCGGUGAAAUGCGCAGAGAUAUGGAGGAACACCAGUGGCGAAGGCGACUUUCUGGUCUGUAACUGACGCUGAUGUGCGAAAGCGUGGGGAUCAAAC
RNAcentral lists this ribosomal RNA (733 nucleotides) under uncultured Staphylococcus sp. RNAcentral describes it as "bacterial SSU rRNA". It matches the Rfam family "Bacterial small subunit ribosomal RNA", at positions 58 to 773 of the family's 1533-position model. The record is from RNAcentral. Lineage: Bacteria; Bacillati; Bacillota; Bacilli; Caryophanales; Staphylococcaceae.